This 468-nucleotide ribosomal RNA is filed under the name uncultured bacterium. RNAcentral describes it as "partial 16S ribosomal RNA". It matches the Rfam family "Bacterial small subunit ribosomal RNA", at positions 28 to 507 of the family's 1533-position model. The record is from RNAcentral.
GACGAACGCUGGCGGCGUGCUUAACACAUGCAAGUCGAGCGGAAAGGCCCUGCUUUUGUGGGGUGCUCGAGUGGCGAACGGGUGAGUAACACGUGAGUAACCUGCCCUUGACUUUGGGAUAACUUCAGGAAACUGGGGCUAAUACCGGAUAGGAGCUCCUGCUGCAUGGUGGGGGUUGGAAAGUUUCGGCGGUUGGGGAUGGACUCGCGGCUUAUCAGCUUGUUGGUGGGGUAGUGGCUUACCAAGGCUUUGACGGGUAGCCGGCCUGAGAGGGUGGCCGGCCACAUUGGGACUGAGAUACGGCCCAGACUCCUACGGGAGGCAGCAGUGGGGAAUAUUGCACAAUGGGCGGAAGCCUGAUGCAGCAACGCCGCGUGCGGGAUGACGGCCUUCGGGUUGUAAACCGCUUUCGCCUGUGACGAAGCGUGAGUGACGGUAAUGGGUAAAGAAGCACCGGCUAACUACGUG